AGAGUUUGAUCCUGGCUCAGAUUGAACGCUGGCGGUAUGCCUUACACAUGCAAGUCGAACGGUAGAGGAGCAAUCCUCGAGAGUGGCGAACGGGUGAGUAAUACAUCGGAACGUGCCCAGUCGUGGGGGACAACGUAGCGAAAGCUACGCUAAUACCGCAUACGACCCGAGGGUGAAAGCGGGGGACUCGCAAGAGCCUCGCGCGAUUGGAGCGGCCGAUGGCAGAUUAGGUAGUUGGUGGGGUAAAGGCCCACCAAGCCUGCGAUCUGUAGCUGGUCUGAGAGGACGACCAGCCACACUGGGACUGAGACACGGCCCAGACUCCUACGGGAGGCAGCAGUGGGGAAUUUUGGACAAUGGGCGAAAGCCUGAUCCGGCCAUACCGCGUGCGGGAAGAAGGCCUUCGGGUUGUAAACCGCUUUUGUCAGGGAAGAAAUACUUCGGGCUAAUACCCUGGGGUGAUGACGGUACCUGAAGAAUAAGCACCGGCUAACUACGUGCCAGCAGCCGCGGUAAUACGUAGGGUGCAAGCGUUAAUCGGAAUUACUGGGCGUAAAGCGUGCGCAGGCGGUUCUAUAAGACAGAUGUGAAAUCCCCGGGCUCAACCUGGGAACUGCAUUUGUGACUGUAGAGCUAGAGUACGG
This 644-nucleotide ribosomal RNA is filed under the name uncultured bacterium. Its description in RNAcentral is "bacterial SSU rRNA". It matches the Rfam family "Bacterial small subunit ribosomal RNA", at positions 8 to 651 of the family's 1533-position model. The record is from RNAcentral.